UGUGGUGACGAUAGUGAGAAGGAUAUACCUGUUCCCAUGUCGAACACAGAAGUCAAGCUUCUUAACGCCGAGAGUAGUUGGG
Molecule: ribosomal RNA, 82 nt
Filed under: Pediococcus pentosaceus
Lineage: Bacteria; Bacillati; Bacillota; Bacilli; Lactobacillales; Lactobacillaceae
Source: RNAcentral